Molecule: ribosomal RNA, 638 nt
Filed under: uncultured Bacteroidales bacterium
Lineage: Bacteria; Pseudomonadati; Bacteroidota; Bacteroidia; Bacteroidales
Description: bacterial SSU rRNA
Rfam family: Bacterial small subunit ribosomal RNA
Source: RNAcentral
GAUGGCGACCGGCGCACGGGUGAGUAACACGUAUCCAACCUGCCGAUAACUCGGGGAUAGCCUUUCGAAAGAAAGAUUAAUACCCGAUGGUAUAAUCAGACCGCAUGGUCUUGUUAUUAAAGAAUUUCGGUUAUCGAUGGGGAUGCGUUCCAUUAGAUAGUAGGCGGGGUAACGGCCCACCUAGUCAACGAUGGAUAGGGGUUCUGAGAGGAAGGUCCCCCACAUUGGAACUGAGACACGGUCCAAACUCCUACGGGAGGCAGCAGUGAGGAAUAUUGGUCAAUGGGCGAUGGCCUGAACCAGCCAAGUAGCGUGAAGGAUGACUGCCCUAUGGGUUGUAAACUUCUUUUAUAAAGGAAUAAAGUCGGGUAUGCAUACCCGUUUGCAUGUACUUUAUGAAUAAGGAUCGGCUAACUCCGUGCCAGCAGCCGCGGUAAUACGGAGGAUCCGAGCGUUAUCCGGAUUUAUUGGGUUUAAAGGGAGCGUAGAUGGAUGUUUAAGUCAGUUGUGAAAGUUUGCGGCUCAACCGUAAAAUUGCAGUUGAUACUGGAUGUCUUGAGUGCAGUUGAGGCAGGCGGAAUUCGUGGUGUAGCGGUGAAAUGCUUAGAUAUCACGAAGAACUCCGAUUGCGAAGGCAG